Molecule: small RNA, 98 nt
Filed under: Sinorhizobium meliloti 2011
Lineage: Bacteria; Pseudomonadati; Pseudomonadota; Alphaproteobacteria; Hyphomicrobiales; Rhizobiaceae
Description: putative ncRNA
Source: RNAcentral
GCCGCGCGUAUCGGUCAGAAGCUCCGACUGAUAGCCGAUGAGACCGCGGGUGGGCGCGAAGAACACCAGCCGGACGCGGUUGCCGCCGGAGGGACGAA